RNAcentral lists this ribosomal RNA (501 nucleotides) under uncultured Glomus. RNAcentral's name for it is "SSU rRNA". It matches the Rfam family "Eukaryotic small subunit ribosomal RNA", at positions 569 to 1074 of the family's 1831-position model. The record is from RNAcentral. Lineage: Eukaryota; Fungi; Glomeromycota; Glomeromycetes; Glomerales; Glomeraceae.
AGCAGCCGCGGUAAUUCCAGCUCCAAUAGCGUAUAUUAAAGUUGCUGCAGUUAAAAAGCUCGUAGUUGAAUUUCGGGACUAAUAUGUCGGUCGUGCCUCGGUACGUACUGGUUUAUUGGUUUCUCCUUUCUGAAGAACCAUGAUGUCAUUUAUUUGGUGUCGUGGGGAAUCAGGACUGUUACUUUGAAAAAAUUAGAGUGUUUAAAGCAGGCUCACGCUUGAAUACAUUAGCAUGGAAUAAUGAAAUAGGACGUUUGAUUCUAUUUUGUUGGUUUCUAGGAUCGACGUAAUGAUUGAUAGGGAUAGUUGGGGGCAUUAGUAUUCAAUUGUCAGAGGUGAAAUUCUUGGAUUUAUUGAAGACUAACUACUGCGAAAGCAUUUGCCAAGGAUGUUUUCAUUAAUCAAGAACGAAAGUUAGGGGAUCGAAGACGAUCAGAUACCGUCGUAGUCUUAACCAUGAACUAUGCCGACUAGGGAUCGGAUGAUGUUAAUUUUUAAUGA